Molecule: ribosomal RNA, 541 nt
Filed under: Tenuibacillus halotolerans
Lineage: Bacteria; Bacillati; Bacillota; Bacilli; Caryophanales; Bacillaceae
Description: bacterial SSU rRNA
Rfam family: Bacterial small subunit ribosomal RNA
Source: RNAcentral
ACAGAAUCCUUCGGGAGGACGUCUGUGGAACGAGCGGCGGACGGGUGAGUAACACGUGGGCAACCUGCCUGUAAGACUGGGAUAACUCCGGGAAACCGGGGCUAAUACCGGAUAACUCAUCGAAUCACAUGAUUCGAUGUUGAAAGAUGGCUUCUGCUAUUACUUACAGAUGGGCCCGCGGCGCAUUAGCUAGUUGGUGGGGUAACGGCCUACCAAGGCAACGAUGCGUAGCCGACCUGAGAGGGUGAUCGGCCACACUGGGACUGAGACACGGCCCAGACUCCUACGGGAGGCAGCAGUAGGGAAUCAUCCGCAAUGGACGAAAGUCUGACGGUGCAACGCCGCGUGAGUGAGGAAGGUCUUCGGAUCGUAAAACUCUGUUGUUAGAGAAGAACAAGUGCCGUUCGAAUAGGGCGGCACCUUGACGGUACCUAACCAGAAAGCCACGGCUAACUACGUGCCAGCAGCCGCGGUAAUACGUAGGUGGCAAGCGUUGUCCGGAAUCAUUGGGCGUAAAGCGCGCGCAGGCGGUUCCUUAAGU